Molecule: ribosomal RNA, 501 nt
Filed under: uncultured bacterium
Lineage: Bacteria
Description: partial 16S ribosomal RNA
Rfam family: Bacterial small subunit ribosomal RNA
Source: RNAcentral
AUUGAACGCUGGCGGCAGGCUUAACACAUGCAAGUCGAGCGGAGAUGAGGUGCUUGCACCUUAUCUUAGCGGCGGACGGGUGAGUAAUGCUUAGGAAUCUGCCUAUUAGUGGGGGACAACAUUCCGAAAGGAAUGCUAAUACCGCAUACGCCCUACGGGGGAAAGCAGGGGAUCUUCGGACCUUGCGCUAAUAGAUGAGCCUAGGUCGGAUUAGCUAGUUGGUGGGGUAAAGGCCUACCAAGGCGACGAUCUGUAGCGGGUCUGAGAGGAUGAUCCGACCAACUGGGACUGAGACACGGCCCAGACUCCUACGGGAGGCAGCAGUGGGGAAUAUUGGACAAUGGGCGGAAGCCUGAUCCAGCCAUGCCGCGUGUGUGAAGAAGGCCUUUUGGUUGUAAAGCACUUUAAGCGAGGAGGAGGCUACCUGGAUUAAUACUCUAGGAUAGUGGACGUUACUCGCAGAAUAAGCACCGGCUAACUCUGUGCCAGCAGCCGCCGUAA